RNAcentral lists this ribosomal RNA (600 nucleotides) under uncultured bacterium. RNAcentral's name for it is "bacterial SSU rRNA". It matches the Rfam family "Bacterial small subunit ribosomal RNA", at positions 80 to 676 of the family's 1533-position model. The record is from RNAcentral.
CACCGAAAGAAAGGAGUGGCGAAGUAAGUACACGUGGGUAACCUGCCCAUCAGAAGGGGAUAACACUUGGAAACAGGUGCUAAUACCGUAUAACAAUUGAAACCGCAUGGUUUUGAUUUGAAAGGCGCUUUCGGGUGUCGCUGAUGGAUGGACCCGCGGUGCAUUACUAUUGGUGAGGUAACGGCUCACCAAGGCCACGAUGCAUAGCCGACCUGAAGGGUGAUCGGCCACAUUGGGACUGAGACACGGCCCAAACUCCUACGGGAGGCAGCAGUAGGGAAUCUUCGACAAUGGACGAAAGUCUGACCGAGCAACGCCGCGUGAGUGAAGAAGGUUUUCGGAUCGUAAAACUCUGUUGUUAGAGAAGAACAAGGAUGAGAGUAACUGUUCAUCCCUUGGACGGUAUCUAACCAGAAAGCCACGGUAACUACGUGCCAGCAGCCGGGUAAAUACGUAAGGUGCAAGCGUUGUCCGGAUUUUAUUGGGCGUAAAGCGAGCGCAGGCGGUUUCUUAAGUCUGAUGUGAAAGCCCCCGGCUCAACCGGGGAAGGUCAUUGGAAACUGGGAACUUGAUGCAAAAAAGAAUUGGAAUUCCAUGUGU